ACUUAAAUUGAAGAGUUUGAUCAUGGCUCAGAUUGAACGCUGGCGGCAGGCCUAACACAUGCAAGUCGAGCGGUAGCACAGAGAGCUUGCUCUCGGGUGACGAGCGGCGGACGGGUGAGUAAUGUCUGGGAAACUGCCUGAUGGAGGGGGAUAACUACUGGAAACGGUAGCUAAUACCGCAUAACGUCGCAAGACCAAAGUGGGGGACCUUCGGGCCUCAUGCCAUCAGAUGUGCCCAGAUGGGAUUAGCUAGUAGGUGGGGUAACGGCUCACCUAGGCGACGAUCCCUAGCUGGUCUGAGAGGAUGACCAGCCACACUGGAACUGAGACACGGUCCAGACUCCUACGGGAGGCAGCAGUGGGGAAUAUUGCACAAUGGGCGCAAGCCUGAUGCAGCCAUGCCGCGUGUGUGAAGAAGG
Molecule: ribosomal RNA, 419 nt
Filed under: Klebsiella pneumoniae
Lineage: Bacteria; Pseudomonadati; Pseudomonadota; Gammaproteobacteria; Enterobacterales; Enterobacteriaceae
Description: bacterial SSU rRNA
Rfam family: Bacterial small subunit ribosomal RNA
Source: RNAcentral